RNAcentral lists this microRNA (23 nucleotides) under Strongyloides ratti. RNAcentral describes it as "str-miR-7880v-3p". Lineage: Eukaryota; Metazoa; Nematoda; Chromadorea; Rhabditida; Strongyloididae. The record is from miRBase by way of RNAcentral.
UUUGCGAUAACAUUCAAGACCAA